Molecule: unclassified non-coding RNA, 232 nt
Filed under: Hevea brasiliensis (rubber tree)
Lineage: Eukaryota; Viridiplantae; Streptophyta; Magnoliopsida; Malpighiales; Euphorbiaceae
Source: RNAcentral
CAGGCAAGAGAGCUAUAUUCAAGGAUGAUGAAAAUGGAGGCACACCAACAAGUAUAGUGGAUUUUGCAGUGCCUAGAAUUAUGGCUGGGGAAUUGGUUAAGGUUUUUGACCCCAGGGUCGGUCCGCCGCAGCUUAAUGAAGCAGAGGCUGUGGAGCUGGUAGCAUAUACUGCACUUCACUGUGUGAAUUUGGAAGGAAAAGAUAGGCCAACUAUGACUGACAUUGUUGCUAA